UAGCCGCAGAAUUCUGUGCUAAGGUAGCAUAAUCAUUUGUUUUUUAAUUAAAAACUAGAAUGAAAGGUUAAAUGAAUAAAAAAUUUUAAUUUAAUAAUAUAUUUAAAUUAAAUUUAUUGUUAAAAUACAAUAAUAAUUUAAAAAGACGACAAGACCCUAUUGAACUUAACAUUUGUUAUACUGGGGAAGUAUUUUAAUAAAAAUUUUAUUAUAUUAUCUUUUAAACUAUCCUUUAAAAAGAAUAAAAAGUUACCAUAGGGAUAACAGCGCAAUUUAUUUUUAAAGUUCUUAUUAAAAAAUAAGAUUACGACCUCGAUGUUGAAUUAAUAUAUCAAAUAAAAGCAAAAUUUUAUAAGAAAGUCUGUUCGACUUUUAAAAAAUUACAUGAUCUG
RNAcentral lists this ribosomal RNA (392 nucleotides) under Longileptoneta songniensis. Its description in RNAcentral is "partial large subunit ribosomal RNA". The record is from RNAcentral. Lineage: Eukaryota; Metazoa; Arthropoda; Arachnida; Araneae; Leptonetidae.